This 30-nucleotide non-coding RNA is filed under the name Mus musculus (house mouse). The record is from RNAcentral. Lineage: Eukaryota; Metazoa; Chordata; Mammalia; Rodentia; Muridae.
UGCCUCGAUGAGUUUUGAUGUCAACAAUGA